AUUUUUAUAAAAGACAACGGUUUUUACAGAAAUCCGUUAUCUAUGUAGUGUUACUCAUAAGCAUAGAUAACGGUACGAAGUAAUUCGUUAUGAAUAAGCGUUAUCUAUUAGGUGCAUACAUAACGGUGUUAUCGAACCGUUAAGAUAACCGUUAUCUAUGAGUGUAUUUUUAUAACGGUUGUUUUAACCGUUAUGUAUGAGCGCUUAAAUACUGUUAUGAUUACUUUUUAUAUUUAUUUUUAAUUUUAACUUUAAUAAUAUUAUAAAAAAAUAAAAACCCUAAUUACAUAAUUCACCUUCUUCUCCAAAGUUUGAAGUCUCACCCACACUCUCUCUCUCUCUCGACCGUACUUCUAUUCUUCUUCUUCUCUCUGCCACUGCCUUACUCCCUUCAAACCCGGCGGCUACUGUCGCCGCCAGCCACCACUGCCACGGUAUCCCCUCUGUAGGCCUCGCAUCUGCCUGCCUCUCGUUCCCUCUCUAAAUCAUGAAAAAUCCCCAAAAAUCCCUAGCUUUCUCCCCUUUCAAUUUCCGACGAGAUUACCGCCUGAACCACCAUCUUCUUCUUCAGUCGACAGCAACGGUCAGCCGGACCGCCGUCAUCCUCCCUCAUCUCUCAAGCCUCUAUCACCGUCUCCCUCUCGACUCCGAUGAGCAGCCGCUAUGAAUCCCCGCCGCCUUCACCGCUUCCCUCCAUACUAAUAUAAAGAUUCGAUUUUUCCUCUUCCCUUCCAUUUCUUCACUCGAGCUCCAUCCCUGCUCUCCAACAAGACUUCACUCAAAAGGGUAUGUGGAUAUCAACUCUUCCUUUCUGAAUUAAUGAAUCAAUNUUCAUUAACUGACAUUCCGGAGUUCACGGCGGUCGUGACCACGGUUCGAGCCAUUUUACGUGAGCUUCCAUCGUCCCCUGGCCUGUCGUGCCCAUCGUGCCCACGGGCGGGGGCAAUCGACCGUCGUGGGCACGGUCGCUGGUGUCGACGGGCACGAUGGUGCGAAGAAACGACGGGCACGAUGGUGCGACCACUGCUACAAAAAUACACAUACAUAACACUGCAUACAUAACGGGUUUUUUAAAAAACCGUUAUGUAUGAGCGCAUUUUUAUAAAAGUACAACGGUUUUUACAGAAAUCCAUUAUCUAUGUAGUGUUACUCAUAAGCAUAGAUAACGGUACGAAGUAAUUCGUUAUGAAUAAGCGUUAUCUAUUAGGUGCAUACAUAACGGUGUUAUCGAACCGUUAAGAUAACCGUUAUCUAUGAGCGUAUUUUUAUUAAUGGUUGUUUUAACCGUUAUGUAUGAGCGCUAAAUACUGUUAUGAUUACUUUUAUUAUUAUUUUAAUUUAACUUUAAUAAUAUUAUAAAAAUAAAAACCCUAAUUACAUAAUUCACCUUCUUCUCCAAAGUUUGAAGUCUCACCCACCACUCUCUCUCUCUCUCGCCGUACUCCUAUCUUCUUCUUCUCUCUGCCACAGCCUUACUCCCUUCAAACCCGGCGGCUACUGUCGCCGCCAUCCACCACCGCCAUGGUAUCCCCUCUGUAGGCCUCGCAUCUGCCUGCCUCUCGUUCCCUCUCUAAAUCAUGAAAAAUCCCCAAAAAUCCCUAGCUUUCUUCCCUUUCAAUUUCCGACGAGAUUACCGCCUGAACCACCCUCUUCUUCUUCAGUCGACAGCAACGGUCAGCCGUACCGCCGUCAUCCUCCCUCAUCUCUCAAGCCUCUAUCACCGUCUCCCUCUCGACUCCGAUGAGCAGCCGCUAUGAAUCCCCGCCGCCUUCACCGCUUCCCUCCAUACUAAUAUAAAGAUUCGAUUUUUCCUCUUUCCCUUCCAUUUCUUCACUCGAGCUCCAUCCCUGCUCUCCAACAAGACUUCACUCAAAAGGGUAUGUGGAUAUCAACUCUUCCUUUCUGAAUUAAUGAAUCAAUUGGUAGUUAGA
This 1931-nucleotide long non-coding RNA is filed under the name Salvia miltiorrhiza (redroot sage). RNAcentral describes it as "long non-coding RNA (SMIL_LNC006457)". The record is from RNAcentral. Lineage: Eukaryota; Viridiplantae; Streptophyta; Magnoliopsida; Lamiales; Lamiaceae.